This 77-nucleotide non-coding RNA is filed under the name Rubellimicrobium thermophilum DSM 16684. RNAcentral's name for it is "Singlet oxygen resistance RNA X". The stretch from base 18 to 77 matches the Rfam family "Singlet oxygen resistance RNA X". From Rfam's summary of the family: SorX (RSs2461)like SorY is a singlet oxygen induced sRNA that counteracts oxidative stress by targeting mRNA for a transporter in Rhodobacter. The record is from Rfam by way of RNAcentral. Lineage: Bacteria; Pseudomonadati; Pseudomonadota; Alphaproteobacteria; Rhodobacterales; Roseobacteraceae.
AGGCCGGCGAUGCUCCGCGCUCGUCGUCCUCGACCUCCCUGUUGGACUUAGCCGGGCCAUCGCGCCCGGCUUUUUUU